GAUGAACGCUGGCGGCGUGCCUAAUACAUGCCAGUCGAGCGAACAGAUGAGGAGCUUGCUCCUCUGACGUUAGCGGCGGACGGGUGAGUAACACGUGGAUAACCUACCUAUAAGACUGGGAUAACUUCGGGAAACCGGAGCUAAUACCGGAUAAUAUAUUGAACCGCAUGGUUCAAUAGUGAAAGACGGUUUUGCUGUCACUUAUCGAUGGAUCCGCGCCGCAUUAGCUAGUUGGUAAGGUAACGGCUUACCAAGGCAACGAUGCGUAGCCGACCUGAGAGGGUGAUCGGCCACACUGGAACUGAGACACGGUCCAGACUCCUACGGGAGGCAGCAGUAGGGAAUCUUCCGCAAUGGGCGAAAGCCUGACGGAGCAACGCCGCGUGAGUGAUGAAGGGCUUCGGAUCGUAAAACUCUGUUAUUAGGGAAGAACAAAUGUGUAAGUAACUAUGCACGUCUUGACGGUACCUAAUCAGAAAGCCACGGCUAACUACGU
This 496-nucleotide ribosomal RNA is filed under the name uncultured bacterium. RNAcentral describes it as "partial 16S ribosomal RNA". It matches the Rfam family "Bacterial small subunit ribosomal RNA", at positions 28 to 506 of the family's 1533-position model. The record is from RNAcentral.